RNAcentral lists this transfer RNA (75 nucleotides) under Chlamydia abortus. RNAcentral describes it as "tRNA-Val(gac)". It matches the Rfam family "tRNA". Rfam says of the family: Transfer RNA (tRNA) molecules are approximately 80 nucleotides in length. Lineage: Bacteria; Pseudomonadati; Chlamydiota; Chlamydiia; Chlamydiales; Chlamydiaceae. The record is from RNAcentral.
UGACCUGAUAGCUCAGCUGGGAGAGCGCUAUCUUGACAGGGUAGAGGUCACAGGUUCGAUCCCUGUUCAGGUCAU